GGUCCUUUGAUUUUGGGGAAGAUAUAAAGCGUGCGGCACUUAUAAUACAUGCUAGGGAAAUGUGUGUAACAUCCCGGACAGGUGAGUAAUAUUUUGGUUCCAACCAGUUGGUCGGAUCGAAGAUCCGAUUACCCAUUCGCGGAUGGGGAAAUAUAUAACAUAGCCAACUGGUCGGCCAGAACCGUAUUAGGUUGAAGGCAUAGACCUUGCCGAAGAUGCGUAGCCGAGAGGCCACACUUUCACUGGAACAAGGGGGAGACUUGUAGAGGCAGCAGUAGAGAAUUUUGUGCAAUGUAUGAAAGUAUGACACAGAGAUGCCGCAAGAAGACCGUCAAAUAUACGUGCCAGCAGACGCGGUUAUACGUAAGGUCUAAGUUUUUAUCGGGAAAGGCGUAAAGGGUGUGUAGGCAUAACCCAUCCGCCGCCGCCCUUGGCGGGUCGGCCUUUUAGGCCGUUUGGCGGGGGGGGUUGAGGUUUAAGGGGUAAAUGGAACUUUUAUGUAGCGGUAGAAUGCUUUAAUAUAAAUUGGGAACACCGGAGGCGAAAGCAAUUUACUAAUCAACCUGACGCUGAGACACGAAAGUAGGGGUAGCAAACAGGAUUAGAUACCCUGGUAGUCCUUACUGUAAACUAUGGAUAUGAGAUCGCUAGCUAUAUGAGCGGUCAACGAGAACUUAAGAAAUCCCGCCUGAAGAGUACGAUCGCAAGAUUAAAAUUCAAAAAAUUUGGCGGUUCACUAACCAAUUAGAGGAGCGUGUAGUUUAAUUCGAUAUUCCGCGAUUAACCUUACCAAAGCUUGAAUAUUUAAAAUUAGGGGGCCUCAUCCCCCCCGGAUCGGGCGACCGAUCCGGGGGGGAUUCGAGGGUUAGGCCCGUGCAUUGGAUUGGCUAUUAAAUACAGGUAUUGCAUGGCCGUCGUCAGUUCGUGUUGUGAAAGAAAUAGAACGAACUCAACCCUUGAUCCCCCCAUCCCCUAAAGGGGAUGGGGGGAUUGAAGGAUGACGUCAGGUCCUUAUGAUCCUAAUGUUUUGGGCGAUUUAUGCGCUACAAUUUUUUAGACAAAGAGAUCAUAAAGCUCCAAAGUAAAAGCCCGAAUUGUCUCUUUGAAAUAAAGACAUGAAGUUGGAUUUAAUAGUAAUCGGAAAGUAGAGCGUUUCGGUGAAUGCGGCUCUAGUGUUCGUACAAAUCGCCCGUCACCUCCACCAAGUAAAUGAUCCCAAAGUGCCGAAGUCCGACUAAUGAUAAAAGACAAACACAGCCUUGGCCCCCCGAUCGAAGAUCGGGGGGCCGACCCCAUAUGUAGGUUUCCGGAUCAACCCCCCGAUCUUCGAUCGGGUGGCCGAUCCGGCCAAGCUUUAAGAUGCCCAAUCCGCCGCCGAAGGCGGAUUGGGGAUCCCCGUGGCAUCCCCUUUAGGGGAUGCGACGGGGAUUGGGCUCGGUAGUACGGAAAGUUUAUAAGGUUGAGGAAGUCGUAACACAGUGAGGGUAUUGGAAAAUGUCCUCGGAUUAAU
This 1510-nucleotide ribosomal RNA is filed under the name Axinella corrugata. Its description in RNAcentral is "small subunit ribosomal RNA". It matches the Rfam family "Bacterial small subunit ribosomal RNA". The record is from RNAcentral. Lineage: Eukaryota; Metazoa; Porifera; Demospongiae; Axinellida; Axinellidae.